RNAcentral lists this ribosomal RNA (292 nucleotides) under uncultured bacterium. RNAcentral describes it as "partial 16S ribosomal RNA". It matches the Rfam family "Bacterial small subunit ribosomal RNA", at positions 505 to 796 of the family's 1533-position model. The record is from RNAcentral.
GUGCCAGCAGCCGCGGUAAUACAGAGGGUGCAAGCGUUGUUCGGAAUUAUUGGGCGUAAAGCGCGUGUAGGCGGCUUAGCAAGUCGGGCGUGAAAGCCCUCGGCUCAACCGAGGAAGUGCACCCGAAACUGCUGAGCUUGAGUGCCGGAGAGGAUGGCGGAAUUCCCCAAGUAGAGGUGAAAUUCGUAGAUAUGGGGAGGAACACCGGUGGCGAAGGCGGCCAUCUGGACGGUAACUGACGCUGAGACGCGAAAGCGUGGGGAGCAAACAGGAUUAGAUACCCCUGUAGUCC